GACGAACGCUGGCGGCGUGCUUAACACAUGCAAGUCGCACGGGACUGGGGGCAACUCCAGUUCAGUGGCGACGGGUGCGUAACACGUAAGCAACAUGUCCAGGGGUGGGGGAUAGCCGGCCCAACGGCCGGGUAAUACCGCAUGCAGUCAUCGCUGGCAUCUACGGUGACGAAAGCCGGGGCAACCUGGCGCCCAUGGAGUGGCUUGCGGCCUAUCAGCUAGNGGUGAGGUAACGGCUCACCAAGGCGACGACGGGUAGCUGGUCUGAGAGGGAUGACC
Molecule: ribosomal RNA, 279 nt
Filed under: uncultured bacterium
Lineage: Bacteria
Description: partial 16S ribosomal RNA
Rfam family: Bacterial small subunit ribosomal RNA
Source: RNAcentral